CUCGUAGGCGGCUUGGCAAGUCGAUCGUGAAAGCCCGGGGCUUAACCCCGGGACGCCGGUCGAUACUGCCAUGGCUUGGGUCCGGUAGAGGAGAAUGGAAUUCCCGGUGUAGCGGUGAAAUGCGCAGAUAUCGGGAGGAACACCAGUAGCGAAGGCGGUUCUCUGGGCCGGUACCGACGCUGAGGUACGAAAGCAUGGGGAGCAAACAGGAUUAGAUACCCUGGUAGUCC
Molecule: ribosomal RNA, 230 nt
Filed under: uncultured bacterium
Lineage: Bacteria
Description: partial 16S ribosomal RNA
Rfam family: Bacterial small subunit ribosomal RNA
Source: RNAcentral